CCUACGGGAGGCAGCAGUGGGGAAUAUUGGGCAAUGGAGGCAACUCUGACCCAGCAACGCCGCGUGAGCGAUGAAGGUCUUCGGAUUGUAAAGCUCUUUAAGCGGGGACGAAGAAAGUGACUGUACCCGCAGAAUAAGCCUCGGCUAACUACGUGCCAGCAGCCGCGGUAAUACGUAGGAGGCAAGCGUUAUCCGGAAUGACUGGGCGUAAAGGGUGCGUAGGUGGUUUGGCAAGUUGGUAGCGUAAUCCCGGGGCUCAACCUCGGUGCUACUACCAAAACUGUUGAACUUGAGUGCAGGAGGGGUGAAUGGAAUUCCCAGUGUAGCGGUGGAAUGCGUAGAUAUUGGGAAGAACUCCGAUUGCGAAGGCAGCAUACCGGCGCUCAACUGACGCUGAGGCACGAAAGCGUGGGGAUCGAACAGGAUUAGAUACCCGAGUAGUC
This 443-nucleotide ribosomal RNA is filed under the name uncultured bacterium. RNAcentral's name for it is "partial 16S ribosomal RNA". It matches the Rfam family "Bacterial small subunit ribosomal RNA", at positions 338 to 795 of the family's 1533-position model. The record is from RNAcentral.